CGACGACGGUUAAUUUAUAAAUGUGCCUCUGAAAUGUGUGCACUGUAUGUUAUAGGAAAAAAGUCAAGUUGAUGUGGCAUCAUAUUUAUUUUUAGCCAGCAAAAACUAUAGAAGAUAUUACAGAGAGAAUAUAAACCGUGUCGGAAAGGAAAACACACACUUAAGAAAAGAAGAAGAAAAAAAAAUGCAAAGAUAACAAAGCACAGCGCACGGUGUGUUUAUCAGUUUUAUAUAUUUUUUCAAUCAAGAUUUUUGAGAUUUGUUUGGAUCGCUACGAAUUCCGUACGUGUUUUUUGUUUGAAAAUUUGAGGUUUUUUCGGGUAAUUAGUGUUUUUAAUGAGCUCUAACCGAGGCAACAUGAUCGAUUCGAAUUAAAUGGAGGUGUGUGAAUGGUGUUGGUAUAAGGUCGAAAAUGAGGUGACAAAAUUGGAGUGAAUAUCCUUUCCAGUUACACUAUUACACUACGAUUGCACAGAAGUCAUGAACAAUAUUUGGACAAAGAAAAUUCCCUGACACAUUUGAUAUCGAUUUUUCACGAAAAUGAAAAUAGAACCAGAAGGUCAUAUCAAAUAUACCUAACCAACAACCAAAAAACAUGUAAAAUUUAAGAUGAGAGCAACAAAAAAAUUUUGUAACGAACGGUUCAUCAAUUAAAGUUAAUUGCAAACAUUAUUUUUAUAUUAUUUAUUCCUGGCGAUGACGUAGCGGUCAAACUCUCAGUGGUGUAAUACACACUGAAGUGCCCAGAUUUAUUGAACACAGUCAAUGCAGUAGAUUUGUAUUUUUCAAAUGUAAAAACAUUUCGAUUAACAGAAAAUCAGUUUACACUUCUCUACCACACCCAAAAAAAAUUAUAAUCGCAGUCACCGAUUACAUAUUAAAUUCGAUUGCGUAAAAUGCCGGGCCGGUUAUAGAAAUUUUUAUUUUAAAUGAUUGUGGGUUUUUUCAUUGCUUCGCUCAGGAUGGUUGAAAGAGUGUGAAAAUUUCACAUGUCGAAUGGUCAGAAAAACAUAACGAAAAAAUAAACUCACCAACAAAUAAAAAAUAUCCAAAGUUAUCACAUAAAUGCACGGUCACACUUAAAGCACACAAUUGUUUGGUUGAAACAAAAUUUCCAAUUUUUGUUCUUAGUUCAAAUUUACAAAAUUCAAUGGCAAAACGAGAUGAUACAAAACGCGAAGCAAGCAACGCCCAUACGUACUAUUUUUCCUGCACAGCGACAAAACCGAUUUUUAUCUCUUUGAAUUCGAACGCGAUGAUUGAAAUUACGGCGAAUUUUCACUUGCGACGAUCACAUCAACCACUUAGAACGAUCGAUUUGCCAAGUUUACACUUAUUACGAUGAAUUUCCGAUUGAAAUUCUGAUAAUUAUAAUCCAUUUAAAUCCUUAAUGUGUGAUUUCAUGAAUCUCGACACUUCGUUCGUUGGUUCUC
Molecule: long non-coding RNA, 1433 nt
Organism: Bradysia coprophila
Lineage: Eukaryota; Metazoa; Arthropoda; Insecta; Diptera; Sciaridae
Source: RefSeq, a predicted model, not a curated record